This 465-nucleotide long non-coding RNA is filed under the name Lathyrus oleraceus (garden pea). Its description in RNAcentral is "Pisum sativum (pea) long non-coding RNA (PSAT_LNC041023)". Lineage: Eukaryota; Viridiplantae; Streptophyta; Magnoliopsida; Fabales; Fabaceae. The record is from RNAcentral.
CUAUGCCUUGCCAAAUCUUUUGUGAAAUUCUCAAAUCUUAUUGUAUGAUCAUGAAAUUUCAUAUGUGAUAACUAGACAUCUCAAGCUUUGCAUUGGUGCUAAUCUCAUUCAUUUCUCUUCUGUUUUCAAAUUGAUAUGAUUUUUUGAAGUUGACCCAUGCUUGUUGACUUUCACCAUGCUUACUUGAACUUGGCUUGACUUCAUGAUUUUAAUUGACUGCCUUCCUCUCAUCCAAAUGCCAUGAAAUUUUGACAUGUGUUCCAUGUUAGAUGUUAGGAUUGAGUGUGAUUUAUUUCAUGAUUUUUGAAAAUGUUUGAGUUGACUUUUGAAUGAAGUCUUUGCUGUUGACUUUUGUAUGCUUCCUUUGCUAUGCUUUGCAUUCUUUGGCAUAUGAAAUGACCAUGAUGCAUGAUAUAAUUAUGAAUCCAAUUGAGAAUGCUUCUUGAAUGUUCAAACUUGGUUUGG